Molecule: ribosomal RNA, 785 nt
Filed under: Bacillus cereus
Lineage: Bacteria; Bacillati; Bacillota; Bacilli; Caryophanales; Bacillaceae
Description: bacterial SSU rRNA
Rfam family: Bacterial small subunit ribosomal RNA
Source: RNAcentral
AAGGAUUUUAUAUAGGGGUUUUAACCGUCAGGAUGAACGCUGGCGGCGUGCCUAAUACAUGCAAGUCGAGCGAAUGGAUUAAGAGCUUGCUCUUAUGAAGUUAGCGGCGGACGGGUGAGUAACACGUGGGUAACCUCCCAUAAGACUGGGAUAACUCCGGGAAACCGGGGCUAAUACCGGAUAACAUUUUGAACCGCAUGGUUCGAAAUUGAAAGGCGGCUUCGGCUGUCACUUAUGGAUGGACCCGCGUCGCAUUAGCUAGUUGGUGAGGUAACGGCUCACCAAGGCAACGAUGCGUAGCCGACCUGAGAGGGUGAUCGGCCACACUGGGACUGAGACACGGCCCAGACUCCUACGGGAGGCAGCAGUAGGGAAUCUUCCGCAAUGGACGAAAGUCUGACGGAGCAACGCCGCGUGAGUGAUGAAGGCUUUCGGGUCGUAAAACUCUGUUGUUAGGGAAGAACAAGUGCUAGUUGAAUAAGCUGGCACCUUGACGGUACCUAACCAGAAAGCCACGGCUAACUACGUGCCAGCAGCCGCGGUAAUACGUAGGUGGCAAGCGUUAUCCGGAAUUAUUGGGCGUAAAGCGCGCGCAGGUGGUUUCUUAAGUCUGAUGUGAAAGCCCACGGCUCAACCGUGGAGGGUCAUUGGAAACUGGGAGACUUGAGUGCAGAAGAGGAAAGUGGAAUUCCAUGUGUAGCGGUGAAAUGCGUAGAGAUAUGGAGGAACACCAGUGGCGAAGGCGACUUUCUGGUCUGUAACUGACACUGAGGCGCGAAAGACGG